UACGAAGGGGGCGAGCGUUGUUCGGAUUUACUGGGCGUAAAGGGCGCGUAGGCGGCCUUGUCAGUCAGGCGUGAAAGCCCCGGGCUCAACCUGGGAACGGCGCUUGGGACGGCGAGGCUGGAGUUCGGGAGAGGAGAGUGGAAUUCCUGGUGUAGCAGUGAAAUGCGUAGAUAUCAGGAGGAAUACCGAUGGCGAAGGCAGGUCUCUGGGCUGACACUGACGCUCAUGCACGAAAGCGUGGGGAGCAAACAGG
RNAcentral lists this ribosomal RNA (253 nucleotides) under uncultured bacterium. Its description in RNAcentral is "partial 16S ribosomal RNA". It matches the Rfam family "Bacterial small subunit ribosomal RNA", at positions 524 to 776 of the family's 1533-position model. The record is from RNAcentral.